Molecule: unclassified non-coding RNA, 290 nt
Filed under: fungal sp.
Lineage: Eukaryota; Fungi
Description: partial internal transcribed spacer region
Rfam family: Eukaryotic small subunit ribosomal RNA (bases 1-46)
Source: RNAcentral
AAGUCGUAACAAGGUUUCCGUAGGUGAACCUGCGGAAGGAUCAUUACCAAAUCCAAAUACCCAAACCCCAUGUGAACUAUUGUAUAGUCUGUCUUUGGGAGAAAACAUCCAAGAAAAACUAGCUUUUAUUAGCUUUUUUUUCUUGGAUUUUUCUCCCAAUAGAGUCCGGCACAACUUUACUGUUUGUGUCCAGAUUCGAAACCCUAAACCACUUGAUUUUCUGUUGGAAUUUCUUUUUUUUAAUUUUUUAAAUAAAAGACAACUUUUAACGGCGGAUCUCUUGGCUCGUG